CGUAGGGUGACCUGCCUUCGAGUGGGGGAGUAACGUCCCGAAAGGGACGCUAAUACCGCAUAAUAUCCUGCCUUUUAAGAGGUGGACAUCAAAGCUGGGACCGCAAGGCCUGGCGCUUGAAGAGGGGCCCGCGCCUGAUUAGCUAGUUGGUGGGGUAAUGGCUCACCAAGGCAUCGAUCAGUAUCCGGCCUGAGAGGGCGGACGGACACACUGGGACUGAGACACGGCCCAG
RNAcentral lists this ribosomal RNA (232 nucleotides) under uncultured bacterium. Its description in RNAcentral is "partial 16S ribosomal RNA". It matches the Rfam family "Bacterial small subunit ribosomal RNA", at positions 116 to 334 of the family's 1533-position model. The record is from RNAcentral.